AUAUAUUUUCUUUCACAAUAAAUAAUAACAAUAACAAUGAUAAAUAAAUACAUCUACUCUUACAAUAUAUAACUAGUAGUUUUUGCAGAAUGACUAAAAUACCUCGUCCCUAGCCCUACACCACAUGGCACUGGCAGGGUAGAAUUGGAAAACACGGAACAACCUUUGCUGCAGUUCCCUAUAUAAAUAUUAGCCACUGCAGAUGUUCAACCAGAUUAGGGUUUCUGUUGCCGUCACACUCGCUUUCUGAAUGAGAUGUAUCUGCUUUGAUGCUUCAACAAAACCCUAAUCUCGAUGGGCUGAAAUAAGAAAUUUGUACUGUAAUUUCAUUGUUGAAAUCUCAGAGGGUGAAUCUGAAGUUGAAUCCGUGAAGUUCAAGCAUUUACGUUUAAGUGUCUGAAUGUCACUCCAGGAAAGGUCAAAGAUGAAUAUUUCAGAUUUUGGUUGAAUUUCUGUGACUUUGGAAGAUCGAGACAUAAAUUUCUAUCAGUUUGUUUGUUUUUUUAAUUAAGAACCCAAUAUUAUAAAGUUUUGGUUCUAAUUCUCAAAAAUAUUCAUUUUUAUUUUGUUUCUAUGUUGUUUCUUUUAAGUAAUCACAAAAAUAUUUGUAAUUAGAUCAAUA
Vigna unguiculata (cowpea) is the source of this 622-nucleotide long non-coding RNA. The record is from RefSeq and is a predicted model, not a curated record. NCBI's taxonomy places the organism in Eukaryota, Viridiplantae, Streptophyta, Magnoliopsida, Fabales, Fabaceae.